UUACCAAACUGUUGCCUCGGCGGGAUCUCUGCCCCGGGUGCGUCGCAGCCCCGGACCAAGGCGCCCGCCGGAGGACCAACCAAAACUCUUAUUGUAUACCCCCUCGCGGGUUUUUUUAUAAUCUGAGCCUUCUCGGCGCCUCUCGUAGGCGUUUCGAAAAUGAAUCAAAACUUUCAACAACGGAUCUCUUGGUUCUGGCAUCGAUGAAGAACGCAGCGAAAUGCGAUAAGUAAUGUGAAUUGCAGAAUUCAGUGAAUCAUCGAAUCUUUGAACGCACAUUGCGCCCGCCAGUAUUCUGGCGGGCAUGCCUGUCCGAGCGUCAUUUCAACCCUCGAACCCCUCCGGGGGGUCGGCGUUGGGGAUCGGCCCUGCCUUGGCGGUGGCCGUCUCCGAAAUACAGUGGCGGUCUCGCCGCAGCCUCUCCUGCGCAGUAGUUUGCACACUCGCAUCGGGAGCGCGGCGCGUCCACAGCCGUUAAACACCCAACUUCUGAAAUGUUGACCUCGGAUCAAGAAAGAAUACCCGCUGAAC
This 531-nucleotide ribosomal RNA is filed under the name Trichoderma harzianum. RNAcentral's name for it is "eukaryotic LSU rRNA". The stretch from base 169 to 322 matches the Rfam family "5.8S ribosomal RNA". Lineage: Eukaryota; Fungi; Ascomycota; Sordariomycetes; Hypocreales; Hypocreaceae. The record is from RNAcentral.